RNAcentral lists this transfer RNA (71 nucleotides) under Pseudomonadota bacterium. RNAcentral's name for it is "Proteobacteria bacterium (activated sludge metagenome) tRNA-Arg". It matches the Rfam family "tRNA". Rfam says of the family: Transfer RNA (tRNA) molecules are approximately 80 nucleotides in length. Their secondary structure includes four short double-helical elements and three loops (D, anti-codon, and T loops). Further hydrogen bonds mediate the characteristic L-shaped molecular structure. tRNAs have two regions of fundamental functional importance: the anti-codon, which is responsible for specific mRNA codon recognition, and the 3' end, to which the tRNAs corresponding amino acid is attached (by aminoacyl-tRNA synthetases). tRNAs cope with the degeneracy of the genetic code in two manners: having more than one tRNA (with a specific anti-codon) for a particular amino acid; and 'wobble' base-pairing, i.e. permitting non-standard base-pairing at the 3rd anti-codon position. Lineage: Bacteria; Pseudomonadati; Pseudomonadota. The record is from RNAcentral.
GGGACCAUGAUUUAAUGGUAGAAUAGCAGAUUACGAAUCUGUUUAUCCGAGUUCGAUUCUCGGUGGUCCUU